AUUGAACGCUGGCGGCAUGCCUUACACAUGCAAGUCGAACGGCAGCACGGGUGCUUGCACCUGGUGGCGAGUGGCGAACGGGUGAGUAAUACAUCGGAACGUACCUUAUCGUGGGGGAUAACGCAGCGAAAGCUGUGCUAAUACCGCAUACGCCCUGAGGGGGAAAGCAGGGGAUCGCAAGACCUCGCGCGAUUAGAGCGGCCUAUGCCUGAUUAGCUUGUUGGUGGAGUAAAAGCCCACCAAGGCGACGAUCAGUAGCUGGUCUGAGAGGACGAUCAGCCACACUGGGUCUGGGAACCGGCCCAGACUCCUACGGGUGGCAGCAGUGGGGAAUUUUGGAAAAUGGGGGCAACCCUGAUCCAGCAAUGCCGCGUGAGUGAAGAAGGCCUUCGGGUUGUAAAGCUCUUUUGUCAGGGAAGAAACACCGGCUCUAACACAGUCCGGGAAUGACGGUACCUGAAGAAUAAGCACCGGCUAACUACGUGCCAGCCGCCGCCGUAA
Molecule: ribosomal RNA, 501 nt
Filed under: uncultured bacterium
Lineage: Bacteria
Description: partial 16S ribosomal RNA
Rfam family: Bacterial small subunit ribosomal RNA
Source: RNAcentral